AUACGUAGGUCCCGAGCGUUGUCCGGAUUUAUUGGGGCGUAAAGCGAGCGCAGGUGGUUUAAUAAGUCUGAUGUAAAAGGCAGUGGCUCAACCAUUGUGUGCAUUGGAAACUGUUAGACUUGAGUGCAGUAGAGGAGAGUGGAAUUCCAUGUGUAGCGGUGAAAUGCGUAGAUAUAUGGAGGAACACCGGUGGCGAAAGCGGCUCUCUGGACUGUCACUGACACUGAGGCUCGAAAGCGUGGGUAGC
Molecule: ribosomal RNA, 247 nt
Filed under: uncultured bacterium
Lineage: Bacteria
Description: partial 16S ribosomal RNA
Rfam family: Bacterial small subunit ribosomal RNA
Source: RNAcentral